This 497-nucleotide ribosomal RNA is filed under the name uncultured bacterium. RNAcentral's name for it is "partial 16S ribosomal RNA". It matches the Rfam family "Bacterial small subunit ribosomal RNA", at positions 28 to 507 of the family's 1533-position model. The record is from RNAcentral.
GAUGAACGCUGGCGGCGUGCCUAAUACAUGCAAGUCGAGCGAACAGACGAGGAGCUUGCUCCUCUGACGUUAGCGGCGGACGGGUGAGUAACACGUGGAUAACCUACCUAUAAGACUGGGAUAACUUCGGGAAACCGGAGCUAAUACCGGAUAACAUGUUGAACCGCAUGGUUCAACAGUGAAAGACGGUCUUGCUGUCACUUAUAGAUGGAUCCGCGUCGCAUUAGCUAGUUGGUAAGGUAACGGCUUACCAAGGCAACGAUGCGUAGCCGACCUGAGAGGGUGAUCGGCCACACUGGAACUGAGACACGGUCCAGACUCCUACGGGAGGCCGCAGUAGGGAAUCUUCCGCAAUGGGCGAAAGCCUGACGGAGCAACGCCGCGUGAGUGAAGAAGGUCUUCCGAUCCUAAAACUCUGUUAUUAGGGAAGAACAAAUGUGUAAGUAACUAUGCACGUCUUGACGGUACCUAAUCAGAAAGCCCCGGCUAACUAAGUG